GUACUUAUGAGGCUAACAGGCUCGUGCGCCAUUUUUACCCCCCGUGACGCAAAAUGGGCCCUCAGGACAGUCUCGUUUUUCAUCGACCGCCAUCCAUCACUUAUUUUGUUUGUCAGCAAGUGUCUUAGCUAGCUGACAGAUGCAAAGCCAGUGGCUCAAAUAUAGUUGCUCUGAAUGUGAAGGUGUAUCUAUGAGGUACCUAUUACUAAAACACUAUAAGCUGAAGCAUGGCCAUUAUGGUCAGAGACACUUAUUUUCGUCCACAUACUGUGAAUGCCCAUGCGGAUUCAAAACAUUGAAUUCUGUGGAUGGAAAGUAAGUACAAACCUAAAAAGGUGAAGAAGCCACAGAAAGCAAAAAGUCAGCUAUCCUGAUUACAGGUGAAACUAACGAAAGUCUUGAGGAGGAAAGGCAAGCUCUUACACUGGAGGUGAAGAACAACUAACAGCUAAUCCAAAGUGAAGCAAGCAGCAGGACACAAUAUCAGCCUGAUCAUGGCAGCCAUGGACAAGGGUAUUGAUCUUGGUGCAGUGAGAGGAAUGGAGAAGGAAUGGUUUUGGGCAUCUACUUUGUCUGACACAAGGGAGCAGACUCUACAGAUCCACCUGAGGAUGUUGGCAUCAUUAAAAUAUGCACAGUGCUGCAAGAUCUGGGAGAUUUGGCAAAUGGGUGUGCAGUCCUGCUUGGCUUGAUCUAUAGUUUAAACUUGAGCUAUGCCAAGGAUCUGCAAUACACAUUUGAAUUUCUUUAAAGUGUUGAUGGAAUUGGAUGGGAACAAGCUCUCCAGUACAGUACAGGUCCUCAACAACAAACUGUGUGACUUCUGUUGACUCUUGGGCAAAGAAAUAAACUGUGACUAGCUUUGAAUUUUGGAGCAGUGCUGGACGAGGAGAUCAAUCUAAAGAACACAUUUUGCUUGAUUGCAGUUAUUACAAUGUUUCAAGUUUUUUUAGCUGUCAUACAUGUUUGAAUUUCUUCAGAAAGUGAUGGCCUUGGAUAGGAACAAGCUUUUGAUUUAAGGUGCAAGUCCUUGAAAACUUCUGUUGACUCUUGCUUGGGCAGCGUUACUUGUCUUUGGAUUUUGGACUGCUGCUGGACAAAACAAUCAGCAGUGUAAAGAG
Molecule: long non-coding RNA, 1121 nt
Organism: Colossoma macropomum (tambaqui)
Lineage: Eukaryota; Metazoa; Chordata; Actinopteri; Characiformes; Serrasalmidae
Exons: 4
Source: RefSeq, a predicted model, not a curated record